AUGGCCCGAGCACGAGCCAUCGAGACCAGACUGGAGAAGCUGGUGCCCGCCCUCGAUGAGUAUUACACGAGCGGCUUCCUCACGCGCGAAGAGACGGUCGAGGUGUCACGGCAGCGUCAGCACUGGGAGUUCCGUCUCGUUGCCAAGCCUCUCCUCCUCCUCGAUGUGCGCGGGGCCAUCAAGUACGAGCUGGGGCUCGAGAAGCGCCUCCGGGAGUACUGCAUCUACACGAAGCUCAACCUGCAGCACCGCUGGGACAUCGUUGACCGCAUCGAGGGCAUCUACAAGAUCGGCCUCAAGCACCUGCGCAGCAAAGCAGAGCACGAGGCACUGCGGCAGGAGUGCGUGCUGUUUAUGAAGCAGUUCCAGCGCAAUGGCAGCCUCAGCAACCUCUACGGUGAGCUCAUGGUGAUGCACCCCCGGCGCAGUGACAUCUGGGUAGAGGCGGCGGAAUGGCAGGGGUUCUCGCAGCGCAACAUAGACAACGCCCGCGCAAUCAUCCAGCAGGCGCUGCUGACCAUGUCGUCAGAACCCGUGGUGUGGGCCUGCGCGUUGCGUGUGGAGCUAAAGUUUGUGCAGCGUCUCCUCGAAGGGCUGCUGGCCGAGCACCGCGAGGAGGUGCGUAAGGCGCGCAAGCGCGCGGCGAAGGCGGCUGAGGACGGGGACGAAGAGAACCGCGCCGACGAUGCCGUGGCGGCAGCUGAAGAGGAGGAGGCCACGUCAGCGAUAGCGCCGAAGCUGCGGGCCGAAAACGAGGACAUGGCUCACGUGCUGCUCGACCUUGCUUUAGCCAAGACAGUUGUGGAGGAGGCAUUUCGCAGCCCUGCCAGUGGGGCGGUGCUGCUGGAGCAGCUGCUGGCGGUCGCUGGCGCCUACGCCUUCGCGCGCGAGGUUGUGGAGCUUGCGGUGACGACGGCGGCUCGCAAGAUGGCCGAGGCCUGCAGCGGGUCCGCUGACGUGACAGUGGAGGCGGCGCGCGUCUGUGGCGCUCGCGGCGCGUCGGCCUCGUCCUCCCUCACCAUUGCAUCCGACCAGCAGCGGCUCCGUGUGCGCACGCAGUGGCGUCACCGACACAGCAUUGACACUGUCUUUGCGCACUAUCUCGCCCUGGAGGAUCUGAUCAUGAACCGGUACACGACGGCCAUAGUAGACACCACCACCUACCUCGCCAGCGGCGGCAGCGGAGGCGUCUUGUCCUCGAAGCGGCGAGACCAGCAGGGGCAGCAGCAGCAGCAGCAGCCGACUGUCGGCGCCUCACUCCUGGCCCCGUCACGGGAGGACCGCCGUCGUGCUGCUGUCAAGGCAGUCGUUUCACUGAUGGCGUUUUCGUUCACGCCGACGUCGGCGCUGUCGGAGUUGCCCGGCAUCGUGGCAGCUGACACAGACUCGACAAAACGCUUUCCGGCUGUGCGGCGCGCCUUUGCAGAGGCCCUGCGUCGCGUCGCCGCCUUGUCGGCUGAGGGGGUGUCGCGGGUGUGCACGCAUCUGCUGCGAACCCCGCCAACUGCUGCUGCCGGCUCCGCAGCGUCGACGACGACAACCAAUAAAAGCAAGAGGAAAGCCGCGCGGCAGACAAACACAACACUGGAUAUCGUGGCGGCGGCCCAGUGGCUCCUGGGGCAGCCACAGCUCGACAAGGCAACCCUACAAGACUGCGUCACAGAGCCGCGGGAGCGCACGGAGAGGCUGCUGAGAGAGGUGGCUUCGGCGGCUGACAUGCAUCCGCCUGCCAAGUCGCGCGCUAGACACGAGGCCCCCGUCGGCACCGCCGGUGCUACGGCGCUUAUGACGUGGUCGAUAGUGCAGCUGGAGCAAUUCUUGCAGUCGGAGGACAGGGAUGCGCUGGUGCAAGGCGCCAGUGGCGGUUUCGGGGGCUCUGCCAGCGCGCCGCCGUACACGCCGCUCAAGACCGCCACCGCGAUGACCACGGAGGACGUGGAGCGCUUCAUCGUGUGGUGGAAGGAGGAGGAGGCGCUGCUGCGUGGACAGCAGGAAGAGGGGGGUGACUCGGGCGACGCACUGGCUGCUUCGCGAACGCGCCGUCGCCUGGCGGUGAUGAAGCUACUACACCAGCACGGCCUCCUGCCUUCUGUGGACAUGCCCGCUUCUGCGGAGAAGAGCAGCGGCAGUAAGAAGGUGCCGAAGAGUGGCAGCAGCGACGCUGCGAGUGAAGAUGCGUGGGCCAAGACGCAAGACGUGCUGCUGAAUCGAUCCAGCGCACUGCAGUUUGUCCAAGUCGCGGGUACAACUGCACCAGCGCGGCUCCCGCUCUCUCUUUGGCGCGUUUUUAGCGCCUUGGAGAAGUUGGAGGGCCCGACACAGAUGAGGGAGAAGGCUCCCUCGGCUCACGCGGCGGUCUCGCGCAGUGGCCGCAGCGACAGUGACAGCGACGACGAUGGCGACGGUGAGACCAGCGGUAGCGGCGUAGCGGCGGGGUGCAAGUAUGCGGAGGCGUCGUCUUCCAGCACGCGGCUUUCGAGCUUCGCCGCAGCUGGGCUGCUCUUUUUGAGUGGGGUGCCGCACAGCGCGCUCAGCCGCGAAGAGGAGUGGGCGCGGCUGGAGGGAGUAACCUCGCUGCUGCGGUGCCGGCUGUUCUCCUGGCUGGGACGUCGAGUGUGCACCCGUGACACCGUUGCCGAGACACUGCAGCGCGCCGAGAGCGACCUCGCAGAGGCUUGGAUCGUCGACGUGCAAGGGCUGCUGACGCUGGCGCAGCGGUGCCAGCCGCUACCCCGUUUCGCGCAGACGCAUUGCGUGCUUCCAUUUUUGGAGGGCGUUGCACUUUUUCGCUCUGCCUGCGCACCUGCGACACCUCUAUCUGCUCGGGCAGGCAACGUGUCUCCGCCCGACAAGGUCGCCCGCGAUGCUGUGCAGGCGGCGCGAGAGGCGUAUGAGGCGCUGCUGCAGCUGUACGACGUCUCCAAGCACCCCGAGUCUUUUCUCCCGCUUCUGUACGACGGUACAUCGGCCAAGAAGCUCGCACAGCAGGCAGGGACCACGUCGAGCGUGUGCUUCAAGGCGUCGACAGCGGAGGUGCAGCGGGCCAACGCCGAGGACUGGGUGGCGUACGUGCUGUUCGAGCGCACGGUAUCCAAAGAUUUGCUGAGGGCCAAGACGGUUGUAGAGCAGGCACGUCGGGCCUCUCUGGCACCGCAGAUCUUCAUGGUGAUGCUGAACGCGCUGUAG
RNAcentral lists this ribosomal RNA (3186 nucleotides) under Leishmania infantum. RNAcentral describes it as "U3_small_nucleolar_RNA-associated_protein_6_-_putative". Lineage: Eukaryota; Euglenozoa; Kinetoplastea; Trypanosomatida; Trypanosomatidae. The record is from RNAcentral.